RNAcentral lists this long non-coding RNA (1308 nucleotides) under Anas platyrhynchos platyrhynchos (common mallard). Its description in RNAcentral is "lncRNA (ENSAPLG00000030020.1)". The record is from RNAcentral. Lineage: Eukaryota; Metazoa; Chordata; Aves; Anseriformes; Anatidae.
CGUUGGGCUUAGAGCCUGACAGCUUUGCAAUCACAGAUUAAAAUGGGAAAGCAGAAGCUGUUUCCAGUCCUCUUACAUUCCUCUCAUAACUCUGGCUCCUCGAUGUGGCUGCUGCUGAGCCACUGGGGAAGCAGCUGGGCACACCAGGCUAAGGGAAUCCCGGUAAGAAGAUCAGAUCCCAAAGGAUCCAGUGCUGACCCCUGGUGCUGUGCCCUUCUCCAGGAUCAUCUCUGAGUAGGUGAGGGUCAAGUACACACCACCAGUGAGAUUAAAAAAGAAAACAAUAGCCUGGGCUCGGUGAUGAGCCAUACAGACGUGGUGUAUGGAGAUACAGAAGUGAUAACUUCAUAGCACUGUUCUGGUAGCACAGAGGAAUACUAGCUUUGUGCCAGAAUUAGGGACUUCUCUUUAAAUUAAACCUGUCUUUGGGUAUUUUACCAGCUCCUUGUAAAAUUACAUUGUUCGUCUGUAUCUGUCUUUUAAUGAAACACGCGUAAAAACCAAAGACGACACUCUGAGGCUGAUGACUGCAGAAUUAUUAUUUCAGUUCCAGGAAGAGGCUUUUGAAGAUCCCAUUAUCUCGAGGAGUCGAGAAAGCCAGGUCUCGGGGCAGGCAGGUCCCCACUGCGAUACUCGACUGGGAGCAGCUGCCUUGUUGCUCCUAGUCCAUUUUCCCCCAAUUUGUGUAGACCUGAGCAAUCUCGUUCUUGCUGUGCUUUUCAGGAAGGCUCCCUAGCGAGAGCACUUGCAAGGUGAAAAAAAAGGCAAUUUUGGCUAAAAGACUUCGAAUCAGCUGCUGACAUGAGUGGGAGUGGAGUGAAUUCAGCGCUCAAGAAAGCAACCACCACCUCGCAGGCUCUGAAAGAACAGUUCACCCGGGAAGAGACCACUGCAGAGAGAGACACUGCUCACAUUUUAGUCCAAAGGAAGGCUGAUGUCUGGAGGAAGAAAAUCUGCAGCUGCCACCUGAGAUUCCCAACUCCUCAAAAAAGUGCAUGCAGUGAAUGGGACUCCAUUUAGUAGGUUUGCAAAACACUGAAAUACUAUGUAAAAUUAAAAUUAACUACAAUAAUAGAUAAAUACUACUUCUUCAAGAGUCCAUAGAUACCCACUCCUGGUUUGAGCAUGCAGACACGAAUUUGGCAUCCUUUUUCCUCUGGACUAUUAAGUGUUCAGGCUCACUAAGCCCUAACAGUUCUUAGAUCCUGUUGGGGUUGGUCUGAAAAAAAAAGAAAAAAAAAAGAAAAAAAAAAGAAAAAAAAAAAGAAAAGAGCAUUCAAUAAAUGUACUGUCUUUAUUGUUUUGUCA